This 491-nucleotide ribosomal RNA is filed under the name uncultured bacterium. RNAcentral describes it as "partial 16S ribosomal RNA". It matches the Rfam family "Bacterial small subunit ribosomal RNA", at positions 29 to 506 of the family's 1533-position model. The record is from RNAcentral.
AGUGAACGCUGGCGGUAGGCCUAACACAUGCAAGUCGAACGGCAGCACAGUAAGAGCUUGCUCUUACGGGUGGCGAGUGGCGGACGGGUGAGGAAUACAUCGGCAUCUACUUUUUCGUGGGGGAUAACGUAGGGAAACUUACGCUAAUACCGCAUACGACCUACGGGUGAAAGCAGGGGAUCUUCGGACCUUGCGCGAUUGAAUGAGCCGAUGUCGGAUUAGCUAGUUGGCGGGGUAAAGUCCCACCAAGGCGACGAUCCGUAGCUGGUCUGAGAGGAUGAUCGGCCACACUGAAACUGGGACACGGUCCAGACUCCUACGGGAGGCAGCAGUGGGGAAUAUUGGACAAUGGGCGCAAGCCUGAUCCAGCCAUACCGCGUGGGUGAAGAAGGCCUUCGAGUUGUAAAGCCCUUUUGUUGGGAAAGAAAAGCAGCAGGUUAAUACCCCGCUGUUCUGACGGAACCCAAAGAAUAAGCACCGGCUAACUUCGU